This 475-nucleotide ribosomal RNA is filed under the name Lysinibacillus sp. RNAcentral describes it as "bacterial SSU rRNA". It matches the Rfam family "Bacterial small subunit ribosomal RNA", at positions 55 to 512 of the family's 1533-position model. The record is from RNAcentral. Lineage: Bacteria; Bacillati; Bacillota; Bacilli; Caryophanales; Bacillaceae.
CUGCAGUCGAGCGAACAGAAAAGGAGCUUGCUCCUUUGACGUUAGCGGCGGACGGGUGAGUAACACGUGGGCAACCUACCCUAUAGUUUGGGAUAACUCCGGGAAACCGGGGCUAAUACCGAAUAAUCUCUUUUGCUUCAUGGUGAAAGACUGAAAGACGGUUUCGGCUGUCGCUAUAGGAUGGGCCCGCGGCGCAUUAGCUAGUUGGUGAGGUAACGGCUCACCAAGGCGACGAUGCGUAGCCGACCUGAGAGGGUGAUCGGCCACACUGGGACUGAGACACGGCCCAGACUCCUACGGGAGGCAGCAGUAGGGAAUCUUCCACAAUGGGCGAAAGCCUGAUGGAGCAACGCCGCGUGAGUGAAGAAGGUUUUCGGAUCGUAAAACUCUGUUGUAAGGGAAGAACAAGUACAGUAGUAACUGGCUGUACCUUGACGGUACCUUAUUAGAAAGCCACGGCUAACUACGUGCCAGC